CGAGAAAACUUUGCAAUGUGCGAAAGCACGACAAGGUUAAUCCGAGCGUUUUCUGCUAAAGAAAUCUUUUGUCAGUCCUAAAAACACUGAUGAAUAAGGGGUGGGCAAGUUCUGGUGUCAGCCGCCGCGGUAAAACCAGCACCUCAAGUGGUCAGGAGGAUUAUUGGGCCUAAAGCAUCCGUAGCCUGCUUUGUAAGUUUUCGGUAAAUCCAUUAGCUCAACUAAUGGGCUGCCGAAAAAUACUGUAGAACUAGGGAGUGGGAGAGGUAGACGGUACUCGGUAGGAAGGGGUAAAAUCCUUUGAUCUAUUGAUGACCACCUGUGGCGAAGGCGGUCUACCAGAACACGUUCGACGGUGAGGGAUGAAAGCUGGGGGAGCAAACCGGAUUAGAUACCCGGGUAGUCCCAGCUGUAAACGAUGCAGACUCGGUGAUGCCCUGGCUUAUGGCCAGUGCAGUGCCGCAGGGAAGCCGUUAAGUUUGCCG
Molecule: ribosomal RNA, 485 nt
Filed under: uncultured euryarchaeote
Lineage: Archaea; Methanobacteriati; Methanobacteriota
Description: bacterial SSU rRNA
Rfam family: Archaeal small subunit ribosomal RNA
Source: RNAcentral